UUCAGUUUGCAUUUUGAUGUUUUUUGUAAGGAUGUAGUGUGUUUAAACUUUAUUAACUAAUGUUCAAAACUGCGAUGUGUGUGUAGAAUAUUACGUAUGCAUGUUCAUGUCUAAAGAAUGGCUGUUGAUGAUAAAAAUCAGCUUUCAUUUUUC
This 153-nucleotide small RNA is filed under the name Pongo abelii (Sumatran orangutan). RNAcentral's name for it is "sense intronic". Lineage: Eukaryota; Metazoa; Chordata; Mammalia; Primates; Hominidae. The record is from RNAcentral.